RNAcentral lists this ribosomal RNA (389 nucleotides) under uncultured bacterium. RNAcentral describes it as "bacterial SSU rRNA". It matches the Rfam family "Bacterial small subunit ribosomal RNA", at positions 28 to 417 of the family's 1533-position model. The record is from RNAcentral.
GACGAACGCUGGCGGCGUGCUUAACACAUGCAAGUCGAGCGGUAAGGCCCUUUCGGGGGUACACGAGCGGCGAACGGGUGAGUAACACGUGGGUGACCUGCCCUCAGCUCUGGGAUAAGCCUGGGAAACCGGGUCUAAUACUGGAUAUGACUCCAUGACGCAUGUUGUGGGGUGGAAAGCCUUGUGCGGCUGAGGAUGGGCCCGCGGCCUAUCAGCUUGUUGGUGGGGNGAUGGCCUACCAAGGCGACGACGGGUAGCCGGCCUGAGAGGGCGACCGGGCCACACUGGGACUGAGACACGGCCCAGACUCCUACGGGAGGCAGCAGUGGGGAAUCUUGCGCAAUGGGCGAAAGCCUGACGCAGCGACGCCGCGUGAGGGAUGACGGCCU